This is a long non-coding RNA of Piliocolobus tephrosceles (Ugandan red Colobus), 1589 nucleotides long. NCBI's taxonomy places the organism in Eukaryota, Metazoa, Chordata, Mammalia, Primates, Cercopithecidae. The record is from Ensembl.
AUUGUUAAACCAAAUAAGUGAGUUGGAGUCUAAGAACCGUUUAAUACAUAUCGAAAUUGAAGAGUUAAAAACAACCGAAAAGGAGUUACAAAAAAAUGAAAAAGAUGUAAUAAUAUAUAUAUAUAUAUAUCUAUUUAUCUAUCCAUCUUUUAUAAAUUUUGUUCUAAUUAUUCAAAACAGCUUUUUUCUACUCACAUAAUUCUUAUUUUAUUUUUUACUAUGUGUCCCUUUAUUAUUAUUUUUUCCUUUUUUUUUUAAACUACAUUUAUUUUUAUCAUACAUAAACUUUAUGUCUGUCCAGCUCAUAACAGAGAUCGAAAGUGUCUGUAAGCAGAUAAAAUGUAUGGAAAAGGAAGAAAUUGAAUUGGUGAGCUUAUGUUAAUAAUUUUUUUUUUUUUGUUUAUACAUGGUUAUAUAUAUGUGAUUGUGCCUUAAAAAAAAAAGAUAUAAUCACAUUUUUAAUUAUAUAUAUAUUUUUUAUUUACUAGAAUAAUGACAUAUCAUGUGUUAACUUAAUGUGCAAAAAUGUUGAAGCAACAUUACAUAAUGAGUUCGUAAAAGUUGAAAUAGCAGGUUAAAAUACAUCACUGGUUGUGUUACUAAACAUGCAUAUAUAUAUAUAUAUAUAUAUAUAUAUAUACACGUACAUAUGUUUAGAUGUAGACUUGCUUAUUUGUUUAUGUAAUGUUAUAGUUUUUUGUCUUGUAUUUUAGUACAUAUAAAAAAAAUUGAACAAUGUUGCGAUCAUCAAAAUUCAAUAAGUAAAAAUGUGUAUUUUUUGUUUUUUUUUAAUGUUAGUAGUAAUAAAAAAAAAAAAAAAAAAAAAAAAAAAAAAACAGUUUUAAUACUUACAUAUAUUUUUUAUGCCCUUGUAUAUGUAGCUCAAAAAAUGAAUCAAGUGGAAUAUAAUGAAGAAGAAAAAAAAAACAUAAACUCCGAUUUAGUUAAAUGUGAUAAUGAAAUAAAACAGUACUUAAAUAACAUGAAUACCAAUAAUGAUGAUAUCACAGAAUUAAAAGAAAUAAAAGAUAAGCAUUUUCUUUUAAAACAUAUUUCUAUAGAUGAUUUGUAUGAAAUUUACGAGGUAUCAAAUUUACAACAAUAUAUAUAUAUAUAUUAUGUCUACGAUAUAUUACUUAUGGGAAGAAUAAAGUUAAUAAUCGUACUAGUUUAUUUAUUUAUUUUUUUUUUUUUAAUUGUAUAUAUAAACACAAACGUUAUAGUACAUAUAUAUAUGCACAUACCUAUGCACGUGUAUAUAUAUUUUCUAUUUAGGAAACAAAAGAAAAAUAUCAAGAAAACGCAUUCAAGAACCAAUGCCAACAAAUUGCUAUUGUUAAUUACAAAACCCAUUCUUAUUUUUGCAAUCCGACACACCUACUACAUAUGGCGUAUCUUCUUAUAGAAAAAGUAAAAGAUAAUAAUGAUGACCCUUACUUUAAUGUAAGUAAAAUAUGUAUCUGUAUAUGUUCAUACAAAGUAGUACUACGUUACAUAAUCAUUAGAGUGAAUACAACCAAAGUAUGUAAUUAUAUAAAUACGUAGGAAUACAUAAUAAAAAUUCUUUAUGUAAGUAUUAAAACUUUUUU